UCUCAUUGCUCUUUGAUACGUCCCAAGUAUUAAAAAGCACGCCGACCUUGACAAAGAACUUGAUAUCAAGCUCAACCACCAACAAAGAAGUCAGGUUCUUUACCACAAUCCUAUCAAACUGAUCUUUUCCGAGACUCAUAUGCUCAAGACCAGGAGCAUCAAUCUCAAGUGUGCAUUCCACUCUGGAAUGGUAAUCCCUUGCCUGCCUAAGCGGCUGCACACUAAACCUCUUCAAGCUCUGAGACCUCACACGCAUAACCGUAAACUCUUCAUUCCCAAUUGCAUAAUCAUCAUCCAUAUCCCUCGACAAUGUCAGCUCCUCAAGAACAGGACACCCUGAGAGAAGCUUCUCCAGAUGCACACGCCAUUUAACCUCUUCAAGAUGCAUGAAUCUGAGACAUGGCAUGAAAACAACACCAGGAUCCAUGAGUCCAGAAGAUGCGAGCUUUAAGUAAACCAAUGUCUUGCUCGUGAGUAGAUUCAUAGGCAUCAUGUCAACAAUAGGAAUAGGAUAGAGAGAAUCGUCGUCCUCGAAAUAGAUACUGCUCUCAACAUCGAGAUGAUGUGUCCCACGGUUAAUCAGUGUACCGAUCCGGUCCUUGAACCCGUCUAUCAUCGUGUUCCUGCACUUAAUCUUCACUUUAAACAGACUUGACUCAGGGCUAAACUCGAGAAGCUUGUCAAUGAAGGUUAAGAACACUUCGUCAGCAUCAUAACGAAUUAAAGAGCAGUUCAAGUCAAGACCAGGAACACUUAGAUACAGAUUCUUCCAUCUUGUCGACAAAACACUUGUCUGCACCGAUUGAUUUGUCGGAAGGUAUGAGAGUAUUUGAGUUAACAGUGACUCCGGCAACUCGCUGAUCCUAUCUCGCCCAGACAUCACGAAAGAAGACCCUAACAGUAUAAUUAAAAAAAAAGAGAGAGAUCUUGAUCGAAUCCUAGGCGUUGAGUUUCUCUAAUCAAUCACAAAACUUAAGACUACAAAUGAAACGAAAGUGAUCUAAAGUUUCUGAAGAACUCACCGUCGAUUGGAUUUGCGUCACCGGCGGGAGUGAUCUACAGUGAGAGAAAAAAGUGGUAACCUUUUUGUCUGAAACUGUACCGAUAUCGUUUAGUACUUGUACGUUUGAAGCAGUUACGGUUCCAUCUUCAAAAGAGCGUUUCAAAAGUAAAGUGUAUUUAUUGUAUAUCUAUAAAUAUUUAUUUUAUUGGUUAUAUUUCCUGUUAAAUGCCAUUGGAAGAAUCAUGAAAAUCGAUUGUAAUGAAAAUUGCAUAUUCUCCACUAUCAAUUUUGUGUUUUUUUUUUUGUAUUUAGGAGAUUCGAUAUCUAAACAAUCUUUCCAAAAUUCAGUUUUUUUGUUGUUAAUUAGAAAUGAAAAAUAAAAAAUGAUAACAAAGGAUCAGUAUAUCAUUGUAUUUUGUUGCUUUGUAUACGAUUCUAUAACUCUAUUUUCACUUCGGUAUACCAAUAAAAUCUAUUCAGACGUUAAAAAAAAAAAGAUAACAAAGGAUCAGUGUACAGUUAUUGUUCUAUUGGAGUUUGACAACAAUUAGACUAACUAAUUAAUGAUUAAAUCAGUCAAUGAGUGAAAGUAUUGACUCAGUUUAGUUGGAAAGUUUUGUGUCCAUUGACCACAUUUAGUUAUUGUACAUCGUUUUUUGCUACCUUAAUGAUUGUAGACCAAAACGUUCAACCUAUAUAUUAAUAACUUUACCAAAAAUCACUACUUCAAAAUACAUUAUAAAAAGCUAGGAAGAAUAGAUUAGCUUCACAACUGAGAAACAUAAAAACUCUACCCAGAAAUGAAGAAAGUUUUCCUUAACAUUGUUCUAUUGUCUAUUCUUCUUGGUGCUGCCUUCCGUAAGUAUACUACUUAUCUUUCAUUUUAUAAUAUGAUACAUGCAGUCGUAUAUAUGCAUGAAUUAAUUUUCAUUAAAUCAAAUAAACCAGAACUUAAAAUUUUCAUUAAGUAAUUAUAUGUUAGUAAUAUUAUUUUUUAUUUUUCUAAAACCAUAAAAUAAAUUAUCUAUCUAACAAGAUCUAUUAUGCAUGAAUUAAAUUGUAUAGUAAAAUUAAUUUAAAUUGAUAUUAUUUAAUAUUAAUAAAUAAUAGUAUAUUAACUUUCAAUUAAUAGAAAAUCUCAAGUAAUAGAAAAUCAUAAAAUUUUUAAAUUGUAACUAUUGAUUUCUCCCUUAUAUGUAUACUUAUCAAAUACCAUAACAUUUUGUAUUCCUUUUCUUUUGAUUAUAUACAAUUUAUUGCAUUAUUAAUAUUUUCUAAAAUUAUUAAUAGUUUGAUCAUUUGAAUUUAUUAUUAUUUUAUUGAUUAUAUAAAGAAAUAUGUUUAACUCAUAAAUUAAUUACAUUUAGAUUAUAAUUUAAUACUAUUGAGAUAUUCUUUACUUUAAGAUAAAUUUCGUAAAAGAAUUAUAAUAUAACAAAUUACACUAAUAACAUUGAAUUACAAAACAAGAAUAAUAUUAAAAUAAUUUCAUUAUCUAAAAUACAUCAUAAAAGCUAACUAUGAAGAGUAAGUUAGCUUUACAAUUGAGAAACACAAAAACUUCUAUACCCAAAAAAUGAAGAAAGUGUUCCUUAACUUUAUGCUAUUGUCUUUUCUUCUUGAUGUUGCCUUCCGUAAGGAUACUACUUAUCGUUCAUUUCACAAUAUGAUACAUGCAUUCGUAUAUAUGUUUAUACACGAACAUAUAAUUAGAAUACACAUAAUUUAUUAUUAAUUUAUGCUAUCAAAAUCUAUGUUCUAGGGGCGUUUAAGGUUUAUGUCAUGUGGGAAUUAUAGUUUUCGUAUGUAAGAAAAGCUGGUAGACUUUUACUAAUUUAUUGUUCCACUUUCCUUUUCAAACGAAAUUUGACCCAAAACGUGAAAACUAGUGGUAUAAACUGAUCUUUAUAAAUAAUUUCGUUUGUUGACAAACCAUAUAUGGACUAAAACAUUAUUCAUAUGCAUGACAAGAUCUUGCAAAUGGAGCCGAGGUGAACCAUCAAGCGCAAUGUGACUCAGACCUUGAGUGUUACACCAUGCGUAGUUGUCUAACAGGUCCAGGAUAUUGCGACAAUGGAGUUUGCAAGUGUCCUAAAUUACAAGUUGUGGAUACAAAUGGAGCGGUUGUGAAUCAUCUAGGGCAAUGUGACACUGAUCUUGAGUGCUAUACCAUGCAUUGUGACAGAGGUGACGGUUAUUGCGAUCACAGCAACGUCGAUGGAGUUUGCAAGUGUCCUAAAACAUGCACCUCAAACCCUGAGUGCUCUGGCAUGGGUUGUGACACAGGUCGAGGAUAUUGCAACAACGGAGCUUGUAAGUGUCCUAAAUUACAAGCAGCGGAGACGAAGAAACACACAAAUGGAGUCGAUCUGAAUCAUCUAGGGCAAUGUGACACUGACCUUGAAUGCUAUACUAUGCCUAGUUGUAACAGAGGUAAUGGUUAUUGCGAUCAGAAAGACGGAAAGUGUAAGUGUCCUAAAUAGAGACACAAAUAAACAUGAGUAGAGCAUAUAUGAGUCUUAUGUUCCCGACUUAAAGCAAUUUGUAUCAAACUGCCCAAGUAAGAUAUAUGUAUCCCAAAAGAUUAUAAAUAUAUUAUUAAAAGACUAAUCAUGACUGUUUUACAAUCAAUUUCCUAUGAUGAAGCUGUUAACAGAAGCAUUCUUUUCAGCUGACAUGUUCCGAUAGCAGCAGCGAUACCUGAAUCGUGAAUUAACCACGUUCAGGAAUGACAGAACCAAACUUAAAAUUAAAGAGAAGUCUAUUACAACAUUCUCCCAAAUCUCAUGUUAGUAGAAUAGAUACAAAAAUAUAAGAGUAAAAGCAACACUCUCAUUGUAGAAAACACAUUUUUCUCUCGUCUUCUUCUUUCUUUCACUUUCAACUUCUAAUGUACUUCUGUUUUUUCUCUACAAUAGCAUGUUUAACUUGUAGUACUUAUACCAUUUUCAAGAAUUUAUGUUUUAUAGUUCAUACAAAGUAUUUUCUUAUCGAAAAAUGAUUCAGAUGAAAAGAAUUAAAAUCGAGCUGAAUAAACUAAAAAAAAAUGAUAUUUAAAAGUAUAAAACAUAUAAAACCAAACUUAAGAGAAUGCAAGAUCAUCAUUAUCAAAACAUCCAAGAAACUGAGAUUGGGACUUUUGGAAGAAAAGAAAAAAGAUUCGCAGUCAUACUGACAAUGGUCAAUGGAAUCCAACCAGAACUAAGAAGACCCAUCAAAUGACAACGACCUCCUCCAUGGCUCGAAUGACAAUUUCACAUCCUGUGGAACGUUUUGUGAGUUUAUUAACCAUCUCACAUAUUUCUGAUUCCGCAACAUUUCGAGGAUCAUAAGCUGUAGGGCUGAGAAUGAGUUUCUUCAGCAUUGCUGAGUUUCCAAGAAAGUAACUUGUUGCUUUCAUCUUCCCUUCCUCCAACUCAAGUUUCUCUUGUAUCUCAACACACUCAAGAGUCGAUGAGACACACCGUGGCACAUCUGCGAGUUCCAAUCCCUCAUCCAUCUCCUCUGGAUGAAGAACCUUCUGUAAACAACACACAAAAAAAAAGCUGGGUUUUCAAAAACACACAUCCAUAAAAAAAACAUAAGGACAACAGUAAUGUUUUUACCAAGAUUAGGUGUUUCAGAUUGGGGCAACACUCAAGAAAGGCUGGCAGAAACUGCAAUAACUUGCCAUGGAACACUGCUUGUAAACGGGACAAGUUGUUGAACUUGGGGAUGAUUCCUGCUUUUGAAUAAUGUUCAAAGGCAUGCACUGUCAUCCCAGAGAUGAUCAUAUCUCUCACACUCGAUAUCCCAUUGAGAAACUCGCGGAUCUCGUUGCUCUUUGAUACGUCCCAAGUAUUAAAAAGCACGCCAACCUUGACAAAGAACUUGAUAUCAAGCUCAACCACCAACAAAGAAGGCAGCUUCUUUACCACAAUGCUAUCAAACUGAUCAUCUCCGAGACUCAUAUGCUCAAGACCAGGAGCAUCAAUCUCAAGUGUGCAUUCCACUCUGGAAUGGUAAUCCCUUGCCUCCCUAAGCGGCAGCACACUAAACCUCUUCAAGC
This 5051-nucleotide long non-coding RNA is filed under the name Brassica rapa (field mustard). RNAcentral's name for it is "long non-coding RNA (BRAP_LNC007396)". The record is from RNAcentral. Lineage: Eukaryota; Viridiplantae; Streptophyta; Magnoliopsida; Brassicales; Brassicaceae.